ACGAAUUCCCUGAUAUGUUUAAGCCUUGUAUCAAGUUCUUCUUUAGACAUGCAACCUAAGAAGAAACGUAAAAACUAAAUAUAAACAUAUUUGAAUUCAAAGUUAAAACAAAUAACAAUCACUCCCUGGUAACGGUGCUAAAAUUUAAUGCAUGCUGAAUGCACCCAUUAAAGAUACUCUACCUAAACUACUUAUAUAUAUGGUAAGCAGAGGUCGAUCCCACAAGAAAUGAGUAAAUGCAAAUAACAAAACAAAUCUUAGAGACACAAAUAAACUGACAAAAUAAACACCUAAUCUAUCAAACUUAAUAUGCAAAGUAAAAUAAAAGGGAUUUUGAUUUGUAUUUGCUAGAAUACUGAAGCUAAACUAAUAAUG
RNAcentral lists this unclassified non-coding RNA (375 nucleotides) under Hevea brasiliensis (rubber tree). Lineage: Eukaryota; Viridiplantae; Streptophyta; Magnoliopsida; Malpighiales; Euphorbiaceae. The record is from RNAcentral.